RNAcentral lists this ribosomal RNA (497 nucleotides) under uncultured bacterium. Its description in RNAcentral is "partial 16S ribosomal RNA". It matches the Rfam family "Bacterial small subunit ribosomal RNA", at positions 28 to 507 of the family's 1533-position model. The record is from RNAcentral.
GAUGAACGCUGGCGGCGUGCCUAAUACAUGCAAGUAGAACGCUGAAGGAAGGAGCUUGCUCUUUCCGGAUGAGUUGCGAACGGGUGAGUAACGCGUAGGUAACCUGCCUGGUAGCGGGGGAUAACUAUUGGAAACGAUAGCUAAUACCGCAUAACAGUAGAUGUUGCAUGAUAUCUACUUAAAAGGUGCAAUUGCACCACUACCAGAUGGACCUGCGUUGUAUUAGCUAGUUGGUGAGGUAACGGCUCACCAAGGCGACGAUACAUAGCCGACCUGAGAGGGUGCUCGGCCACACUGGGACUGAGACACGGCCCAUACUCCUACGGGAGGCAGCAGUAGGGAAUCUUCGGCAAUGGACGGAAGUCUGACCGAGCAACGCCGCGUGAGUGAAGAAGGUUUUCGGAUCGUAAAGCUCUGUUGUAAGAGAAGAACGAGUGUGAGAGUGGAAAGUUCACACUGUGACGGUAUCUUACCAGAAAGGGACGGCUAACUACGUG